This 301-nucleotide ribosomal RNA is filed under the name uncultured bacterium. Its description in RNAcentral is "partial 16S ribosomal RNA". It matches the Rfam family "Bacterial small subunit ribosomal RNA", at positions 509 to 807 of the family's 1533-position model. The record is from RNAcentral.
CAGUCGCCACGGGAAUACGGAGGGUGCAAGCGUUAUCCGGAUUCACUGGGUUUAAAGGGUGCGUAGGCGGAUCUGUAAGUCAGUGGUGAAAUCUCCAGGCUUAACCUGGAAACUGCCGUUGAUACUAUAGGUCUUGAAUUUUGUGGAGGUUAGCGGAAUAUGUCAUGUAGCGGUGAAAUGCAUAGAUAUGACAUAGAACACCAAUUGCGAAGGCAGCUGGCUACACAACUAUUGACGCUGAGGCACGAAAGCGUGGGGAUCAAACAGGAUUAGAUACCCCCGUAGUCCCUGUCUCUUAUAC